UGUCUCUCUCUCGCUCUCUUACUCGGACACAGACUAGAAGGAGCUAGAGAGGGAAAUCAACGAUGGAAGCCGUCUAGAAGCUAGACAGAGAGGGGGCUACGGGUAAGAUCGUGGUCUUGAAGAAGAAGACCAAACUUUGGAAGAUCAUUCCAAGCACAAUCCUUCUGUGAGAUUUCUAUUUUUUCCAACAAUGGCCUCAAUUUACAGUCUAUAUUUGUAAUGAUUUUGGAUUGUUUUGUGAUCUUCCUAGUGUUUGAGUAUAGAAGAGAAGAAGAAAAAGCCAGAGAGAGAAAUCGACAGAAGCAUUCCACAAGCAAAAAAAGCCUUCUCGUAAGGAUUUAGUCGUUGAUUGUGUGAUUAUUGUU
Molecule: long non-coding RNA, 365 nt
Filed under: Actinidia chinensis (golden kiwifruit)
Lineage: Eukaryota; Viridiplantae; Streptophyta; Magnoliopsida; Ericales; Actinidiaceae
Description: long non-coding RNA (ACHI_LNC006555)
Source: RNAcentral